CCUACGGGAGGCAGCAGUAGGGAAUUUUGCGCAAUGGGCGAAAGCCUGACGCAGCUACUCCGCGUGAACGAGACGCCCUUCGGGGUGGAAAGUUCUGUCAGUGGGGACGAAAGAUGACGGUACCCACAGAGGACGCACCGGCUAACUCCGUGCCAGCAGCCGCGGUAAUACGGAGUGUGCACGCGUUGUCCGGUAUGAUUGGGCGUAAAGUGUUCGUAGGCGGUAUGUUAAGUCUGGUGUUAAAUGCAGAAGCUCAACGUCUUUUCGGCACUGGAUACUGGCAAACUAGACUGCGGUAGAGGUAAAGGGAAUUCCUGGGGUAGCGGUGAAAUGCUUAGAUAUGAGGAGGAACAUCGGGGGCGUAAGCGCUUUACGGGGCCGUAAUUGACGCUGAGGAACGAAAGCCAGGGUAGCAAAUGGGAUUAGAUACCCCAGUAGUC
Molecule: ribosomal RNA, 440 nt
Filed under: uncultured bacterium
Lineage: Bacteria
Description: partial 16S ribosomal RNA
Rfam family: Bacterial small subunit ribosomal RNA
Source: RNAcentral